GACAAAAUUUGGGAUGAAUUUCCGCUUAAACGGCGCAGAACAUGCCUUUCCGUCACCGACCGGGAUGGAGGAGGGACGGCCCCGGCCCCUCGGUGGGUUUGGGGCUCUUUCGGGGGAUUUUGGGAGCGGUUGGGGAUGGGAAUCACCUAAAUGUUGGGAAAAUGUCCCUUGAGGGAUGCUCCGUGCAAGGAGAGGGGUGUCAAUGUCAUCCCAACGUCAUCCCAACGUCAAUGUCAUCCCAACGUCAAGUCAACAUCUACCCAAUGUUAUCGCAACAUCAACUCAACGUCAGCCCAACGUCAACCCAACAUCAACCCGAUGUCAACUCAAUGUCUACCCAAUGUUAUCCCAACGUCAACUCAACGUCAGCCCAAUGUUAACUCAACGUCAGCCCAACGUCAACUCAAUGUCAGCCCAACAUCACCCCAAUGUCAUCCCAAUGUCAACUCAACAUCUACCCAAUGUUAUCCCAACAUCAACUCAACGUCAGCCCAACGUCAACUCAAUGUCAGCCCAACGUCAACCCAAAGUCAACUCAACAUCAGCCCAAUGUCAACCCAUUGUCAUCCCAACAUCAACUCAACAUCUACCCAAUGUUAUCCCAACAUCAACUCAGUGUCAGUCCAACAUCAACUCAAUGUCUACCCAAUGUUAUCCCAACAUCAACUCAACGUCAGCCCAACGUCAACCCAAUGUUAUCCCAACAUCAACUCAACGUCAGCCCAACGUCAACUCAACAUCAGCCCAACAUCAACCCAACGUCAACUCAACGUCUACCCAAUGUUAUCCCAACGUCAACUCAACGUCAGCCCAACGUCAACUCAAUGUCAGCCCAAUGUCAACCCAAUGUCAUCCCAACGUCAACUCAACAUCUACCCAAUGUUAUCCCAACAUCAUCCCAAUGUCAGCCCAAUGUCAACCCAACGUCAAUGUCAACCCAACGUCAACGUCAGCCCAACGUCAGCCCAAUGUCAACUCAACGUCAGCAUCAACUCAACGUCAGCCCAACAUCAUUCCAACAUCAACUGAACGUCAGGCCAACGUCAACUCAACGUCAACUCAACAUCAGCCCAACGUCUACCCAAUGUUAUCCCAACAUCAACACAACGUCAGCCCAACAUCAACCCAAUGUCAACUCAAUGUCAGCCCAACGUCAACUCAAUGUCAUCCCAACGUCAACUCAACAUCUACCCAAUGUUAUCCCAACAUCAACUCAACGUCAGCCCAACAUCAACUCAACGUCAGCCCAACGUCAACUCAACGUCAGCCCAACGUCAACUCAAUGUCAGCCCAACAUCACCCCAAUGUCAUCCCAAUGUCAACUCAACAUCUACCCAAUGUUAUCCCAACAUCAACUCAACGUCAGCCCAACGUCAACUCAAUGUCAGCCCAACGUCAACCCAAAGUCAACUCAACAUCAGCCCAAUGUCAACCCAUUGUCAUCCCAACAUCAACUCAACAUCUACCCAAUGUUAUCCCAACAUCAACUCAGUGUCAGUCCAACAUCAACUCAAUGUCUACCCAAUGUUAUCCCAACAUCAACUCAACGUCAGCCCAACGUCAACCCAAUGUUAUCCCAACAUCAACUCAACGUCAGCCCAACGUCAACUCAACAUCAGCCCAACAUCAACCCAACGUCAACUCAACGUCUACCCAAUGUUAUCCCAACGUCAACUCAACGUCAGCCCAACGUCAACUCAAUGUCAGCCCAAUGUCAACCCAAUGUCAUCCCAACGUCAACUCAACAUCUACCCAAUGUUAUCCCAACAUCAUCCCAAUGUCAGCCCAAUGUCAACCCAACGUCAAUGUCAACCCAACGUCAACGUCAGCCCAACGUCAGCCCAAUGUCAACUCAACGUCAGCAUCAACUCAACGUCAGCCCAACAUCAUUCCAACAUCAACUGAACGUCAGGCCAACGUCAACUCAACGUCAACUCAACAUCAGCCCAACGUCUACCCAAUGUUAUCCCAACAUCAACAUCAGCCCAACGUCAACCCAACGUCAACUCAACAUCAGCCCAACAUCAACCCAACGUCAACUCAACGUCAUCCCAACGUCAAUGUCAACCCAACAUCAACAUCAGUCCAACGUCAGCCCAAUAUCAACUCAACGUCAGCCCAACGUCAUUCCAACAUCAACUCAACGUCAGGCGAACGUCAACUCAACAUCAGCCCAACAUCAACCCAACGUCAACUCAACGUCAGCCCGAUGUCAACCCAAUGUCAUCCCAAUGUCAACUCAACAUCUACCCAAUGUUAUCCCAACAUCAUCCCAACGUCAGCCCAAUGUCAACCCAAUGUCAACCCAAUGUCAUCCCAACGUCAAUAUCAACCCAACGUCAACAUCAGCCCAAUGUCAACUCAACGUCAGCCCAACAUCAACCCAAUGUCAACUCAAUGUCAGCCCAACGUCAACUCAAUGUCAUCCCAACGUCAACUCAACAUCUACCCAAUGUUAUCCCAACAUCAACUCAACGUCAGCCCAACAUCAACCCAACGUCAACUCAACGUCAGGCAAACGUCAACACAACAUCAACCCAACGUCAACUCAACGUCUACCCAAUGUUAUCCCAACAUCAACUCAACGUCAGCCCAACAUCAACCCAACGUCAACCCAAUGUUAUCCCAACAUCAACUCAACAUCAUCCUAACGAACCACCGUCCAUCCCUUUUUUUGACUUUUUUGGGGGGUGAAACAUGCAGAAGGGAGGAGGGAAUUGAUGCCCAAGCCCCGACCACCCUCCCUACAGCGAAGCUUAGGAGUGGAGAAUUAUUUCCUAAAUCCCCUUAG
Molecule: long non-coding RNA, 2791 nt
Filed under: Calidris pugnax (ruff)
Lineage: Eukaryota; Metazoa; Chordata; Aves; Charadriiformes; Scolopacidae
Description: lncRNA (ENSCPUG00000016225.1)
Source: RNAcentral